RNAcentral lists this ribosomal RNA (505 nucleotides) under uncultured soil bacterium. Its description in RNAcentral is "bacterial SSU rRNA". The stretch from base 116 to 505 matches the Rfam family "Bacterial small subunit ribosomal RNA", at positions 1 to 526 of the family's 1533-position model. The record is from RNAcentral.
UUAAGUUAGGAUCCAGGCAUAAUACAAAAAGUUGAGCAUAUGAUGCUUCUUGCACAAGAAAUAACAAUAGAACCUAAGAGUAAUGUUCACGCGUCGUGGAGUGAUCAGUGUGGCUGUCGUAGAGGAACAUAAAUGCCGCAUAGGUGCUUCGGGAAAAAGCAGGCAAGUGACAGUCCCGCUGUAUCGGAUGGCCGUAGGUGGGAAAACUUAUUGUGAGAGUUAAAUUGAUACAAUUUGAUGAACUGUAGCUGAUAAUAGGGCAUGAGCAGUAACCUAUCAGUAACUGGUGUGAGAACACGCCCACUCACCCGGGCACUGAGACGCGGGCCCGACUCCUACGGGAGGCAGCAGUAAGGAAUAUUGGUCAAUGGGGGAAACCCUGACGCAGCAACGCCGCGUGGAGGAUGAAGUCCCUUGGGACGUAAACUCCUUUCGACCAAGACGAUAAUGACGGUACUGGUGGAAGAAGCACCGGCUAACUCUGUGCCAGCAGCCGCGGUAAUAC